Triticum aestivum (bread wheat) is the source of this 1102-nucleotide RNA transcript. It is a transcript of the gene named nuclear transcription factor Y subunit B-4, with no coding region annotated. NCBI's taxonomy places the organism in Eukaryota, Viridiplantae, Streptophyta, Magnoliopsida, Poales, Poaceae. The transcript is spliced from 5 exons. The record is from RefSeq and is a predicted model, not a curated record.
ACGGUUAGCGACAGGCCCUUGUUGGUAGAUCAGACGACAAGGCUCCGGAGCCUUCCCCUCCUCUGUUCCCGUCUCGCGCGGAGCACAACGCCCGCCCUCCACCAACUUCAGCUCCAGAUCCGGCGGCCGGCCGCGCCCUCCUCCCGCACCAACCAACGGCGCUGAUCCCCUCCGCCAUCUCCGUCCAUCUCCCUCCUAAUUAGGCGCAGGCCUAGCGAUGUCGGAGGCGGUGGGCACGCCGGAGAGCAGCGGGGCGAAGGAGCAGGAGCGGUUCCUGCCGAUCGCCAACAUCGGGCGCAUCAUGCGGCGCGGCGUGCCGGAGAACGGCAAGAUCGCCAAGGACGCUAAGGAGUCCAUCCAGGAGUGCGUCUCCGAGUUCAUCAGCUUCAUCACCAGCGAGGCGAGCGACAAGUGCAUGAAGGAGAAGCGCAAGACCAUCAACGGCGACGACCUGAUCUGGUCCAUGGGCACGCUCGGCUUCGAGGACUACGUCGAGCCCCUCAAGCUCUAUCUCAAGCUCUACCGGGAGAUGGAGGUAUAUUCAUUGCCUUACUGGUCUUCCAUGUUUCGGCGAUCUAUUAUCUUAGGUUCAAGUUUCCUGAAUCUACUCUUCAUUGAUUGUCUUCUAGGGUGACACGUCAAAGGGUUCGAAAUCUGAGCAGGCUGCAAAGAAAGUGGGUGCACUGAAUGGGCAGCCUGGAUCAUCGUUCAACGGCAUGUAGGGUGGAGGAUGAUACUGAUCGGCGUAUGACAAACAUACACAUACAAUUCGUUGGCAGUGUGAUCCUAGCAGUACUGCGCCUUUGUGGCCGGGGAAAGUCCCCAGCACUCUGCUUAGUUCUGUGCAUGCGGGAUACUUGAAAUACCAUGCUAUGUCUUCUGUAGAUGUUAGCUGUUCUUUCCCUCUCUCUAGUUCAGUCCGUGUGUUGUAUGGGUCUGUCUAACCUUAUGGUAAAUUCAGAGAUACGCCUUUUCCACGUCAACUUUUAGGGGUUAGUGACUGUAAUAAGAUGAUGAACAGGUUUGAAAAACCGCAGUCUUUCGCUCGUGUAAGGUAUUGACUGAAGAAGAUAAUGCAGCUGCUGAUGUAUGCUUUUGACCA